RNAcentral lists this ribosomal RNA (678 nucleotides) under Rickettsiales bacterium. Its description in RNAcentral is "partial 23S ribosomal RNA". It matches the Rfam family "Bacterial large subunit ribosomal RNA", at positions 2236 to 2925 of the family's 2925-position model. Lineage: Bacteria; Pseudomonadati; Pseudomonadota; Alphaproteobacteria; Rickettsiales. The record is from RNAcentral.
GAAACAGGGCGGGGGACAGUGCGUGGUGGGCAGUUUGACUGGGGUGGUCGCCUCCCAAAUCGUACCGGAGGCGCGCGAAGGUUUGCUCAGGCUGGUCGGAAAUCAGCCGGUGAGUGCAAAGGCAAAAGCAAGCCUGACUGCAAGAGGGACACCUCGAGCAGAGACGAAAGUCGGUCUUAGUGACCCGGUGGUUCCGCAUGGAAGGGCCAUCGCACACGGAUAAAAGCUACUCUAGGGAUAACAGGCUGAUGCUUCCCAAGCGUCCAUAGCGACGGAAGUGUUUGGCACCUCGAUGUCGACUCAUCGCAUCCUGGGGCUGGAGCAGGUCCCAAGGGUAUGGCUGUUCGCCAUUUAAAGCGGUACGUGAGUUGGGUUAAUAACGUCGUGAGACAGUUAGGUCCCUAUCUACUGUGGGCGUUGGAUAUUUGAGCAGACUUGACCUUAGUACGAGAGGACCGGGUCGAACGAACCCCUGGUGUUCCUGUUGUCGCGCCCGCGGCAGCGCAGGUUAGCUAUGUUCGGAACAGAUAACCGCUGAAUGCAUCUAAGCGGGAAGCUGGCUGCAAGAUAAGAUAUCCCCAUUAAUCCUGUUAUAGACUAUGACGUUGAUAGGUGGAACGUGUAAGCCCUGCGAGGGGUUCAGCGCAUCCAUACUAAUCGGAUGAUUGACUUUUUAUC